This 10953-nucleotide long non-coding RNA is filed under the name Solanum tuberosum (potato). Its description in RNAcentral is "long non-coding RNA (STUB_LNC006730)". The record is from RNAcentral. Lineage: Eukaryota; Viridiplantae; Streptophyta; Magnoliopsida; Solanales; Solanaceae.
UAAUUUCAUAUUAAAUCUAAAUUAAAGGAUUUAGUAUUUAGUUACCUUGCACAUGUUGGGAGGGCAGAGAUUGCAACCAUGAGGGGAUGUUUGAAAAUCAACAUAAGGAAGGAUUCGAAGCCUGCCUUCCUCAUCGACGUAACCUGGAUUGGUGUUGAUCUCUGAGAAACAAUCCCUAAUUCCGACAUGUUUCAAAAUAGUUUCAAUGAAGAAUACAUUUGCAUCGCUUAUUACUCUCAAAUCACACCUGAAUAUAUUAACACACAUUCAAUUAGUUUAAACCUCUGAUUUAUAUUAUGCAGAUUUAAAGAAAACAGAGGAAAUACAAAGCUGAAAUUAUGAGAUACGUACCCUAAUGCAUAAGCUGAUUUAAUAGCUGGAACAAUCCUAGGGUGUCUGGGAACCCGUUUCAGUACCUCUUCAAUGUCUUGUAUUGUUUUGCCUUGCGUAUGAAGCUCCUUCAUCAUUCUAUCCUGUAAUUUGAAACACAACAGAAAUUAUAAGCCCGAUGCACAAAGCUUGAUAGACAAGCAUAAAAGUACAGUAAGAAAAAAAAAGGUACCAUGAGAGAGUUCCAUGGCAUAGUGGGGAGAAGCUGAUUGAACAAAUCAGUGGCGCCUAACUCAUCCACCACCCAAUUAUCACUAUCCACAUCGAUAAUCGUCUUGUCAAAGUCGAAAAACACUACAAUUCCAGCCAUUUAUUUUGAGUAAAUUAUCGAGGAAUUAGAAACGAGAAAAGAGAGAAGACCUCUGUUUGUUGUUGUUAUGGGAUGUAUUUGAGUUUGUGAACACCAAACAUAUGAAGAGGGAGCUUUAUAGGGAGGGGGGAAAAAGGGAAUAAGGUACAAAAAAAAAAUAAGAUGCCAAGGAAUAUUACAUAAGUUAGUGGUAAGUUAACGCAAAUUCCUUUAGUCACUUGGUUUUGGAUAUUAGCCGUUAGAUUUUGAUCCUACGGUCGAUAAAUCUUUUUACUUUAUGGUAUAAAUAACUUUUCAUCUUAGUUGGGAGGAUUUAUGGAAAUUCGAAGGAAUAUGACAGAAUAUUCCAUGCGGUUCUCCACAAAUUAGGAUUGAACUUAAUCCUUGUACGAAUUACAUGGGAGAAUUAAUCUAGAUUUAUUUGUUUUUUUAGUGUUCUUUAUAUUUUAAUUACUCCUUCCGGCUCCAUCUCAUAUUAUUUAUCUAUUUUUUCUCUUUGCAUGCCACUUAAAAAUCAUAAAUAAAAAAUUCUUAAUAUAUAUUUUUAGUAUAAAAAUAGCUUAAAUACGGGUAAAUAUUUACGGUGACAGUAGCAAGAAGGGAAUCUGAAUAAGAGAGCAAGUGGUGGUUCUAUAUUAGGAGAUAUUCGAUCAUAAUUCCAAUUGUUACUAUAACUGUGGUAGUGGCAAAUGGCAAUUAUGAUGAUUUAUGAUAUAAAAAAUUAAAUAUAUGAAAAAAUUAAGAGCAAUAUAUAUAUAUAUAUAUAUAUAUUACUUUUCAUUAAAAAAAAUCGAUUGAGCCCUUCUCUUCCCUAACACCAAAUGAAUCAGAUUCAGAAUUGUAUGUGUCAAGUGGCAUAUGAAAUUAAAAGUUAUCAAUUGGAUUAAUGGAGCAGAAAUAUUCACGUUUUGAAUGAUAAUAUUAUUCAUUGAUCGUAACGAAUGUUGACUUAUUCUGAAAAAAUUAUGUAAAAGCUUUACAUAAUUAUUAUGAAGCUAAGCGAUGAAAAAAUGAUUUUAAUAAUUGAAGUUAUAUAUUCUAUUAUAGGAUUUAUCCAUACAAAUAAUAGAGCACAUACAAAAACUUUGAAAUAUUGCUUUUGAACACUAAAAAGAAAUUUAUUUUUACAACAAGCUUUUAAUAAUAUGAUUGUGAUUUGUCAUUACGUGUAAGAUUAUCUCCACUGUAGAAAGAAAUGAAAUUUCAAGGGGACAUCUGGAGAACUCUAGGAAAAAUGAAAUUACGGGUAUGUUUGGAAAGUCACCAAGUAAUUAGAAUUGGUGUAAUUACUAGGGUAGUAAUUACCAGCAUAGUAAUUACACAGUCUAGUAAUUACACUGACAUAUUUGAUUGUCACAGUGUAAUUACACUGUAACUACACAUGUCCUGUUUGGAUGCCACAGUGUAAUUACACAUGUUCUGUUUGGAUACACAAUUGCAAUCAUAAAUUAUAAUAAAUUUUAAAAUAAAAUUAAUCAUUUAAAAUUUAUACUAGACAAAUAAGAAAUUUUAUAAAUGACAUUAAAUUAAAUAUUUAAGAUAUAUAUUCUUUUUUGAAAAUAUAUUAAUUAAUAAACAUAUUUACUGUAACUAAUAUUAUGAAAAAAUAAUUGAUUUAUAUAUUUUCAAAUUAAUAUAUUUCAAUUGAAUUGAUCGUAACAACUAAAAGUAUGAAGUUUCUACGAACAUUAUGAAAUGCAUGUUUGAUAAAAAGAAUAGUAAUAUAUAAAUAAAAUAUCAUAAAUUAUUAAAUGUUUGACAAAAAUAUAAUCUAUCAAGUCUAAUUAAAAAAUGACGUGCAAUGUAAAUUCAAUAUUACUAAAACAAAUGAAACUGAAAAUAUAACAUAAGUAAUAAAUUCAAAACAAAAAAUUUAACAUAAUACUCUUAUAACAAAUUUCAACAUAGCAAUAAAUAUGAUUUAUUUUUAUUUCUUCAUAAUAAAGAAAACGUAGGUCUAUAACCUUACUUAACAUAAAUUCUAUUUUAAUUUAAAAAUUAGAAUACUAAUAAAAUUAUGCUAAUGAGAAAAUAAACAUGGCAUAAAGAAAUAGAUAAUACGAGAAAAUUACAUAAAAUCAUGUAAAGUAAGGUUGAGAAUAAGAAUAAAAUGAAAUAUAAUAAUAAAAAAUAAAAAAUAAAAAAUAGACUUUUACAAAUUUUAGAAUAAUAAAAAUAAAAAUAAAAAGAAAUUAAAAUAAUAGAAGUAAAAAAAAUUAAAACAAAAAAAAUAAAAAAUAGAAAUUAAAAAAAAAUGAAAUAGUAAUCAGGGGGUAAUUACACCAUGUAAUUACCAGCAUUCACAGCCUUUGCCUGUGAAUUGUAGAGUGUAAUUACCCCCUGCCAAUUACACCAACUACAUGUUGACCAAGUAAUUACAUGUCCUUCCAAACAGGACAAGACAGUGUAAUUACACCAAUUACAUCAAAUCCAAUUACCAGGGUGUCCUUCCAAACAGACCCGUGAUCAGUUUGUUGAUUUAGAAGCAUUCAAAUUAUUAUUAUUUUUGACACGUCCACCAGAUAAAAGGCAAUAGCAUGAUUCUUGCUUUUAUUUUUCACUUAUCUUGCCAGAUCUUGAUUUGGUAAUGCACCAUUAUCAUGUGAUAUGUUUCUUAGAUGUUUACUUUUUAUAUAUGGACGGUGUAUUGGUAUUAAACAAUAUCAAUUAUAAAAGGGUAGUUCUUAAUUAUUAUUUAUGAACUAGUGUACUUGUCCGUGCUUUGUAUGGAUAUAAAAAGAUAUUAAAUAUAUUUUAAAAUAAUUAAUAAAUGAUAUAAUAAAAGAGAGAAAUACAAAUUAAGUUAUGAUUAUAAUAUUAUCUAUUCAGAAAAAUUGCUAAAAAAUCUCAUGCUGCAUUUUUCAAUUUAAAAUUGCUGAUAAAAAAGAUGAAAACAUAAAAAUUGAUAUGAAAAGCUUCAGUUAAGUAACAAUCUAAUUAUCAUAGUUUCAUACUAAAUUCAAUGAUUCUUACAGUAAUAUUAUUGGUUCAACCAACAAUACUAAAUCUACUCGAUCAUAAAUUACAUGAUUUUUUUUUAUUUUGUAUAAAUGACUCUAUAAUAAAAAAUAUACAAAUGAAAAUAUAUUUGUACUAAAUCAUGGUGAGAAAAAAAUAUACUUGAAUUACAUUCGAACAUAUUUAUGCCCGAGAUUUAAAAGUUAGAGAAUUUUUUUUCGAUAUUUGAUGCUCGUACUGGCAUUCAUUUACUACAUAUUUGUGUCACAAGAUCCAUUAAUAUUAAAAAUAUAUAUUUAAACUUUCAUUCUUAUAGUAAGCACUGCGAUAAGAGAAAAUCAAGUUGCUAUAGUGAAACACUGUCGUUGAGGUUUUACUUUUACAAUAAAAAUAAAAUAAAAUUAAUCACAUAAUUUAUCGUAUAGAGAUUAUCAGUAGUGAGAAGAAAUAUUUUUUUUAAAAGAAUACGUGUAUGCAACGACGAAGAUGUAGAAAAAGUACCAAGAGUUGAAUAAUUUUUUACAACACUAAUACAAUUGUUCCUAUUAUUACAAUAUUAUUGUGGUAAUUAUUACAUGUCUCAAAAUAGGUUUUUAUAAGUGUCAUUUUAAGGAGUUAUAAAUUUGUAUAUUAAAUAAUAUGAAGGUUAUGAAUAUGAAAGGUUUGGAGUUAUAGAUAUUACUAAAUUAAUUAAGAUUUAAAUUUAUGUAAUUGAAGAGGUAUGAAUUAAGAAGAUGAUUUUAUAAAAUAAAAUAAUUGAAAAAGAUUAGAAAAAAUGUCAAAAAAAAUUAUAAUAUAUAUUGAUGUUAUUUAUAUUUCUUCUCCUGUUUUUGGCUUUUAUCGUUAUUUACCUUUAUAUAUAUAUAUAUAUAUAUAUAUAUAUAUAUAUUCUCCUAUUUUUGGCUUUUAGCGUUAUUGUGUUUAAAUUUUCUCUUUUUUAUUUAUUAAUUUAUGUGCUAUAUAUUAAUUCCACAUUAGUCUUACUUUAUUAUUUCAAUAAAACCUGAAAAGUGAAACACCCACUCUCUUCCUUUACCGAUUAGAAAAUAAAUGUUCAUCAUUUUUAAUAAAUUAAAUUAUAUGCUUACACUUUGUAUAAAUUAUAUGCAUAUAGUUUGUUUGAAUGGAAAGUGCAAUAGCAUAUAAUAUUAGAUUUCUCCUUUUCUUUCUUUGUUCUUUCACAUUUUUCAUUGAGGUAUCAACUAUAUUCUUUUAAUUGUUUAUAUGAUACAGUUUUUGGAGCUGGUCAUUUUUAAUUAUUACGUAGUAAUAAUAGAAAUGUUUAUAUGUAAUCCACACAAAGAAGAUUAAUUUAUAUAUAUGACUAAAUGAUAUCAUGAACAUGACUAUUAACAUAAUUUAGAAUUUGUGAUCAUUAAAAAUCAUGAAAGUAAGGAAAAUAAAGUCAGUUAAAUAUCAAAUAAUUUUAUGAACAUAACUAUAUUAAUAUAAUUUAGAAGUUAUAUGAUCAUCAAAUGUCAUGAAAGUAAGGAAAAUAAAGGCAAUUAAAAAUUUCUAUUAAAGAAAUAUGAAUAAAUGAAGGAGUAGUAAUUGACAUAUUUAUUUAUUUACAAUAAUAAGAAAUAUAUAAACAAAAAAAUUAUCAAGAAAAUGAAAGAAAAAAAGAUAAAUAUGAUUCUUGGCAAAAAAAAAAAAGUGGCAUAUCACUUUUCUUUUAGAUAAUUUAUAUAUUUGUAAAGAACGUAAAUAGAGAGACAAACAGUUUUACUAAAUGAUUUUUAUCCUAAACAAAUACUUUUACAUUUUGAGUUCGAAUCCAACAAAUCAUAAUAGUGAUCUCUAAACAUCUCAAAACUUGAAAAUUUCUAACAAUAAUAAUAAUAAAAAUUAAAAUAUGAAGAUUGCAAAGUUACAUAUUAAUAAUCAAUUUUUCUAUGAAUUAAACUGUAACUUGAAAAUUACAAAUCAACUUUACAUUCUCAUGUUCUAUCAUUAUAAUUAAUAAAAAUUGAUCCACAUAACUACAAAAUUAUCUACAUACUUUCUUGAGUAGCAUACAUGUAUAUGUUAACUCCCUUUUCUACCUUAACUUGAAAAUACGAUAAGUUAACUUUACAACAACACAACAACAACAACAACAACAAAUACAUAAAAAUAAAGUUAACUAAUCAAGUAAAAACUUUAAAGAAUAUUCAAUUAUGAGCAUGAAGAGGAAAGAAGGACCAUGUUCUCAACAUAACAUAAUCCAAUUCUCCAAAACCUACAAAGAGAAGAAGAGAGUAAAAAUAAUCAGAUUCUUUGGAAACUACAAAAAUAAGUAUAUAAAAAAAAAUCUUAAGAAACCACAAAGAGAAGCAAAAGAGAAAAAAAUCACAUUAUUUUCUAAAAAAAUAAAUCAUGAUUUGUAUCAUCUACAAUUCAAAAAAAUAAAUAUUAAAUAUAUAAUUACAAUAAAAAAAGUGAUAAUUAUAAGUAUUAGACAUGUCAAACCAAACUAUGCAAGGAUGUCUAACAUUAAUAUUCUCUAGAAACGACAAAGAGGAAAAAAACAAAUUAUUUUUUCCCAAAAUUAAAAAACCUCAUGAUUCGUAUAAUCAAGAAUAAAAAAAUUAAAUAUAUAUUUACAAUAGAAAAAAGUGAUAAUUAUACUACGUAUGUCCAAACAUUUUACCUCAUAAAAUCCAACUGUGUAAAACAUUCUUCAUUAUACAUAUCUCUCCUGCAAAAUAAGAUCAAAGAAGACAAAAAAUGACCAACCAAAGAAACACAAGAUGAAGAAUAAGAAAAUGAAAAUAAAAUAAUCAUCAUACAUAUCUCAAGAUAAGUUUUUAUAAGUGUCAUUUUAAGGAGUUAUAAAUUUGUAUAUUAAAUAAUAUGAAGGUUAUGAACAUGAAAGGUUACGAGUUGUAGAUAUUACUAAAUUAAUUAAGAUUUAAAUUUAUGAAAUUGAAGAGGUGUGAAUUUAGAAGAUGAUUUUAUGAAAUAAAAUAAUUGAGAAAAAUUAGAAAAAAUGUCAAAAAAACCACAAAAAAGAUAAAUAAGAUCUUGGGCAUUGAGAGGUGCCACAUCACUUCUUUUUUAUCUAACUUUAUAUAUAUAUAUAUAUAUAUGAUUGGACAAUUUUGAUUUUUUAAAGUUAAUAUAUUUAAUCAGUUCAUUAGCUUUGACGAGAAUUAAGGGGGGAAAUAAAGAAGGAAGAUAGAGGAAAUUCAAAUUUAGAGGUAUAUUGUGGUAACCAGACAAGUCAUUGAAAUCACGAAAUUCAAUGACUUUUCUUAGGACCCGGCCAUAGAUUUCUCAAGUAAAAUUUAGGGGAAAAUUUGGCAAAUAAUGUUUAUCCAUAUAAUUUGUCAUUAUUUGACAAAUAUUUUUGGCAAAUAACUCAAAUUCUCAAAUACUAAAAAAACUAGUAUUUGGGUCAAAUCUCAUUAUUUGGGAUCUUUUAAAAAUUAAACUCUACACCAAAUUUUUAUCUUUUACAGAAACACCCUCUAUAAUAGUUGUUUGCGUUGUAUUACAUAAUUUUUUACGUAAACACCAAAGUAGUGAUAGAAUAUUUAGUGAAUAUGAAAGUGAUGAUAUGUUUAUUGAUGAAAAUGAUGAACAAUCGGCUCAGGGUAACAAAGUCAUUUGCUUUGUCUACUUCACAAUGUAUAGGACGAUGCUUGUUGUACUCAUUCUGAACUACCAUAUUGCUCUAGUGUCAUGGACACUACUUGUUAUUUGUUGCAACGAAGAUCCAAUUGACUUGUAAUACAAACCUAUGGUUAGUUUUGGUAGUUUUUAAAAACUUAUGGGUAUAAAUCAUAUUUCCUAAAAAAGUGAAAUAUGUUUCCCAAAUACUAUGGCCAAACACAUGGUGAAAUUUCACCCAAAUUUUAACCCAAAUAAUAUUUGCCAAAAAUAUUUGGAAAUCUAUGGCCAAACGCUAACUUAGUAAAUUCUCAAAGUUGAGUAAUCUUUUGAGAUAUUACCUCAAUUUUAUUCACCACUCAAAAGAGAGAAAUUUUAUUGUGAAGGAAGGUCGUGUGUUCUAAUGAUGGGUUAUAUAAACUCUUCACCUUAUUCGGAGUUGUUUGAGUCACAUGAUAUUAUUCAGUUGUUGUAUCUGAAUAGAAUGGGUCCAGAGUAAUAUAUAUUGCUACACCAAAAAGGAUCUUUAGUGGCAAUAAAUUAAUUGCCGUUAAAUAUGUAUUUUUACUUUUUAGCGUCAAUUAGCUAGUAUUCUUUGUAAAUGUCCAUAAUAUCUAUAGUGACACUAAAUCUAAUGACAAUUAUCUAAUGCUGAUAAAAAUUUUACCACUCUCUGUUAAUAUAUAUAUUUAUUGCCGCUAAAAAUUAUUUUUGUUAUAAUAUAAAUCGGUUAAAUUAGACUUAAAUCUCCUUAAAGAAAACAAGAUUUGUAUGCCUUAUUUAUUUAUUUUUAUCAUUUUAUUUUCCAACUACAAUUUACUAUAAUAUAUGGUAUAUUCACCGACACACGGAUAUGAUUAAUAACUUCAGCAAAAGACACAUCCUCUUUGCACCUUACCUGCCAUUUACCAUCGGAAGGCAGAAAUAUUCUAAAAUUAUUCAAUAAAAACAAAUAUAGGAGUUUAUAGAAAGGCGGGGACAGAUUCAGUAUUUUUAAUACAGAAAAGGGUAAAUUAUUCUUAAACUAUGCGAAAUAAAAAAAAGGGAGACGCAAAAGUUAGGUAUUCCCUUUUGUGGUAAUUGACCAAAUUAAUGAAACCUUAAAUAAGCUAAUUGACAAACAUUGUAAAAGAAAUUCAAGCAUCAAUUCACAUUGCAACACUAUUUGUGGAAAAGACAGAUUACAAUCGUUCAGAUUAUUUGUUUAAUAUAUGUAGGUUAGAGUGUCUACUUAAGCUGAAUUCGAUAAUGUUGUAAUUCGCGGUCUCUUAACAAUACUUAGGACAUGAAACAAAUUGUUCUUAUAUAUAUCAAAGGGAAAAGGGUUAAAAAUACCCCUCAACUUUGUUUUAUUGUUUGACUAUACCCUUACCGUUAAAACGAAGUUAUUUUUGCCCCUGCCGUCUACAAACUCAUCACAUUUACCCCUCAAUUGGAUGGAAACCCCCAAAUCAACAAAAAUAACCCGAUUUACUUAAAUUAACCAAUUUUAACCCGACUCGACCCAUCAAAUGAUACAACCCACCUAUGUUCAUCUUCAUUUUUAACCUAAUUUAUCUGUCUCCCUAUUUCCUACUUCCUACUGUUCAUCUUCAUCACUUCCUUGAGCUUCAAAUCAAACAUUCUUCUUUGCCUUCUUUUCCAUCUUUUCCGCAGCUCACGUCUCGGGCAUCAUUAUGCCAUUACAGGCAUCUCUUCAAUACCCCAUUCUCUUCCUUAGAACCUGCCCUAAAUCUGAUACUUCCAGCAAAGUUAAAUUCGAAAUCUCAUUAACUAUCGCUGAUACUCUCCCUGAUGGAGCCAACUUUGAUUCGUGAGCUGAUGUUGUGAAAUUUGAACUAAUUAACGGUUUAGUAAAGCUGUAGAAAUGGGUUUCAGAAUUUUUUUGAAUCUUGGACUGUGGAAUUGUGAAUGCACAUAAGGUGUUAGAUAUGUGGAAAUAGUUCUGGAACGGUGAUACAGAGAAUUAGAAAUAAAUCGAUUGAAACAUCUCAUGAUUAUGACAUAAAAGCUUCUGACUGAAUUGCUUGGGCUUUGUAAUGGUGCCGGAACAGUGAUUACGGCGACGAUGGGUUUAAUCGUCUGGGAAGUAGGAAGGUUGGGGAAGUUGAGGUUUUAGGCUUACUUACUUGUAUUUACUUAAUCCCAUUAGGUUAUGAAAAUGUUAUUCAUGUCUUUGAAAAUGUAUUUUCCUCCAUUGUUUUUUGCCUUGAUCUCAAGAUGAAGAUGAACAAAGCGGGUCAUCUAUUAGAUGGAUCGGAAUCGGGUUAAAAUUGGUUAAUUUAAGUAAAUCGGGUUAUUUUUGUUGAUUUGGGGGUUUCCAUCCAAUUGAGGGGUAAAUGUGAUGAGUUUGUAGACGGCAGGGGCAAAAAUAACUUCGUUUUAACGGUAAGGGUAUAGUCAAACAAUAAAACAAAGUUGAGGGGUAUUUUUGACCCUUUUCCCUAAAAAAAAUAACUUCACUUAUAAUUUGAUUUAAAAAUACCUUUGCCGUUAAUAAUUUUGUUCAAAAAUACCUUUAUUAUUUGACUUACUUUCCUUUUUAAGCCGAUUGAAAAAAAAGUGACUCAUUUCCUUUUUAGGAACAUGGUAAUUCCUAUUUUGCACGUGACAUGUUUAAUAUCACAAGAUUAAAAAUAUUUUGAUACAUUUGACUUAUCUUUAAUUUAAGACCACGAGAUUCAAUUCAUUAUUUUUUAAACCUCCGUGUCAAGUCAAAAUAGGACAAACAAAUUAAAAAUCGGAGAGAGCAGAAAUGUAAAAUAAAAAAUUAAGGAAUUUUCGUGUUUUUGUUUUUGCCUCCUAAAAGGAGGACCAAACAGACUAUUACACUCUGUAGGUUCAGAAUUUUUAGAUUCUUUAACAUUGAAUUAUUUAAAAAAAAUACAAGUUCAUGUAUGUAUACUAUUUAUGAGUACAAUUUUAAUAAUUUUUUACUCAUAAGUUUAUGUAGUGGGUCGAAAAUUAUGAGUGAAAUUGAAUCUUCUGAACUCAAACCACAUGUUCAAUAAUAGCAAUCACUUUUUAACUUUCGAAAGAAAAAAUGUCUACAACAAUCUCGUAGCCCAUUAGUACUUAGUAAGGCACUGGAAGAGCCGGUGGCAAUGCUCCAUGAGUUGCUUUUGACAUUGUCUGGAAUUUGCAGUACUCAACUGAUAACAAUCGGCUUUCUUCAACACUGAUUGUGUUUAUUAGUUGUAGUAGAAUGUGCUCGAAUUCUUCCCCAUCUGCCCACUCGUGGACAGUUGCUUUUACUAGUGUCCUGUUUUUAUUUAUCAAAUUCCAGGCUGGGAAAUCUUUUCUUGGCAUCACAAAAUCUGCUUCCAUGAGCUUCAAACUGGGACAGAAAUCCCCGAUUCCAUCACCUAGAUAGAUCAUUCUUUUCUUCCCUUCUUUAGUCAUGCUGGCUUGAAUUCUUUCUACUAUCAUACCCUGCAUUAAACAGAAUCUCAAUUAGGAAAACUAAUUUCAUAUUAAAUCUAAAUUAAAGGAUUUAGUAUUUAGCUACCUUGCACAUGUUGGGAGGGCAGAGAUUGCAGCCAUGAGGGGAUGUUAUAAAAUCAACAUAAGGGAGGAUUCGAAGCCUGCCUUCUUCAUCGACGUAGCCUGGAUUGGUGUUGAUCUCAGAGAAACAAUCCCUAAUUCCGACAUGUUUCAAGAUAGUUUCAAUGAAGAAUACAUUUGCAUCGCUUGUUACUCUC